Molecule: ribosomal RNA, 497 nt
Filed under: uncultured bacterium
Lineage: Bacteria
Description: partial 16S ribosomal RNA
Rfam family: Bacterial small subunit ribosomal RNA
Source: RNAcentral
GAUGAACGCUGGCGGCGUGCCUAAUACAUGCAAGUCGAGCGAACAGACGAGGAGCUUGCUCCUCUGACGUUAGCGGCGGACGGGUGAGUAACACGUGGAUAACCUACCUAUAAGACUGGGAUAACUUCGGGAAACCGGAGCUAAUACCGGAUAAUAUAUUGAACCGCAUGGUUCAAUAGUGAAAGACGGUUUUGCUGUCACUUAUAGAUGGAUCCGCGCCGCAUUAGCUAGUUGGUAAGGUAACGGCUUACCAAGGCAACGAUGCGUAACCGACCCGAGAGGGUGAUCGGCCACACUGGAACUGAGACACGGUCCAGACUCCUACGGGAGGCAGCAGUAGGGAAUCUUCCGCAAUGGGCGAAAGCCUGACGGAGCAACGCCGCGUGAGUGAUGAAGGUCUUCGGAUCGUAAAACUCUGUUAUUAGGGAAGAACAAAUGUGUAAGUAACUAUGCACGUCUUGACGGUACCUAAUCAGAAAGCCACGGCUAACUACGUG